This 275-nucleotide long non-coding RNA is filed under the name Lathyrus oleraceus (garden pea). Its description in RNAcentral is "Pisum sativum (pea) long non-coding RNA (PSAT_LNC014705)". Lineage: Eukaryota; Viridiplantae; Streptophyta; Magnoliopsida; Fabales; Fabaceae. The record is from RNAcentral.
UAGAGUCGAGUGCCUUAUUACUGAUCAAACAUUGUCCGUAAUUGGAUGACCAUAAAGACAGUUGAUGGGUACUCCACGAAGCAUGUUGAGGGACAUGAGUGACCUAGAUGGAAUUUUCCCGUCCUGCGUAACAGGAUAAAUGUCUACGGGCCCAAUAUUGAAUUGGACAAGGAUGACACAGUCUAUGCCUUGUGUUCAAUAUAGACAUAGGGGAAAAGGGUAAUUAUACACAUAAGUAUUAUCACAAAAGGAUUUGUCAGAUCACAUGACAUUUU